Molecule: long non-coding RNA, 3475 nt
Organism: Oncorhynchus tshawytscha (Chinook salmon)
Lineage: Eukaryota; Metazoa; Chordata; Actinopteri; Salmoniformes; Salmonidae
Source: Ensembl
AAUGCAAAAAGGCUAUACAUGCAUUCAACACAGGUGGUACUGCACACUGAGCUUUGCACUUGCUAUAAAUCAUUCAAUAUAGAUAUUGCUCCUGGCAUACUAUCAAUGCAUUCAUAAACACACAGGUGGUUCACAGAAUAUAUUACUUUGGGUUUGUUUUUCCAACGUUACUACUGUACUCUGUGUCAUCGUCUUCUUUAAACCUGAUGGAGGAGGCUGUGUUCACCAAUCAGAGCUCAGCACCGUCACGUUUAGCCUAUCAAUCUUCUGGUCUGUGCACAGAGAACCCUGACUGGCUGAUCGAAGAACAGCAUGGUCUUUAUAAAGAACUCAAACUCCAACCCCCUUUCAGACUGACCAACCAUCACCGUAUGUCUUAGCAGUUCUCUAUUCAAUAUGAUAUCCAUAGCCAAGUAACCAACAACCAACCACCUUUUGUUGACUGCUUGGUCAGUGUUCUUGGCCGAUGGUUCCAGUGCUGGGAAUGUCUCUGAACUGUUUCAGUUGCACUAACAACACUCCACCUCGCCAUGUUGUGCUGUUUGCAUGUGGAGGAGGUUGCUUUAUUUAGCUGAUUCUUCGUUUUUUUUGUUCAUCUAACCGAUGGCAUUUGUAACUGUGUCUUCCUACAAAAAAAGACUUCACUGCAAAGCAUGACUUGCUGCAUGACUCGCAUUGUUAAACAUACAUUCAUUUCAGUACUGUUUGGCCCUGCAGCUUGCCUUAGGCUAGCUUACUGUAUAGUACUGUGAACUCCAUUGCUGAAUAUCAAAGGCAGACAUAACUUUGAGGCCUGUGAAUUAGUAAUCAAUGUAAAUGUUUUAAAUAGAUACACAGGACAUGAUACACAGGACAUGCACAGAUACACAGGACAUGUAGGAUGACCUUCUGUCACUAAUUGGAAACUAGCAGUGCCAAAGCUCUCAACCACUGUGCUCACAUCUUCAGUGAGUUUAACAUAACUAAUCACAUCCUAUCAGUGUCAUCUUAAUAUACAGUAUGAUGAUGAUGAUCUUGCUGUUAACUGCUGCCAGAGUUCCUCCUGUGACUAUAUGGGACUAACUGGCAUUCGUGCCCAGUCUCUUGCAUGCAACAAGACAGUGUUAGCCUGUAUUCAAGCCUCGGCAUUAGUUUGGGUAGCUAACGUGAGUCUUCAGGUCUUUGGCAAGGUUACCAAUCCUGUGAGUGGGGUUCACUAAACCAGCUUCAGUACAUUUAUAUGUAGUUCAUUAUCAGUCUUAAGUGAGGUCUCCACGGUUCAGUGUUCCCAUUGGGCUACAUAACGCUACAUUGGGGUACAUAAUGGCUGCAUUGUGCUACAAAUUCCGCAGAUGGCUACAAACAUAGACAGCCGCAACACUGCACUCAAUUAAUUAUGUAGUAAAAGAGCAAAAAAUCAUAUCUCUGCUGUAACUGCCUGCGAAUACAAUGCGUGAACAAAAUCCAACCAAUAUCGUGAUCGUGUUACAUUAGGCUACAUUUUGAUGAUUUGUUCAUGCUGCAAUCUGAAGGAAACUACGACUUAUGAAUGUUACCAUGUUUAUCUUUCACCAUACACAACAUGGAAUGUGGAGGGUCUUCACUUACAGACAAUAUUAGCAAUAAUUAUGAAUAGUAUAAUUACGAUCCUGGACAGAUAUUAAUUGUAGUCAACAGAAGCACACUACGUAAAGCCAAUAUGUAUAGUGCUUUAUGACUUGUCAUAUGCAUAUAUGACCCUUCAAAAUGUGUUGUUAUAGGCUAUGUUAUGCAUUUAUAUUAAGCAUUUCUUUCUGAAAAUAGCUGUUAUGUAUUAAGGAUCACUAUGAGAUAAGACAUUGUAAGGAUCAUAUGCAUAUUGCAAGUCUUAUAAUGCAUUAUAACAACAUCAUGCAUUAUCCGUUUUGGCGUUAAGUAAAGUGGUACCCUGUAACCUAUACAGUUAUGAUUGUUUACUGCUCACCCGAAUGACCCCUAUUGGUGUCAAUGUGUUACUAUUUUCUAGUAAAUUGGAAACAAAUGCACACACUUUACUUAAACAUACCUUAACUUUGGCCUAGAUUCACGGUCUCCCUGAUACAGAGAAGUGAACAUGAAGAGAGGAUAGCUUGUUUAUUUUUUAACACAUUUAGCUUGACAUAUGGUAUAGUAAUGUUUAAUGGGCCAAUGCCUGAGUAAGGGGGUGUUGUUUGAACGAGAAAAAAUGAGGCUGUACUCUAUGCAUUAUAAUGCUCAAAUGUUUCUAAAUAUUAUAGCAUGCUUUUGUUAAGUGUCCCAAUAUGGCCACCGUGGGCAACUACAACAAUGAUGUCAUUUGGUUGGUGCAUAUUGAUGUAAUGUAACUUUAUUCUUCAAUAUGUUUCCAUCUGAAAUCACAUCAUCAAAUGUACAUCAAUAAUGCAUUUACCACACUUAUAUGGAAACUUGAUGUACAUUCUCAUGCCAGCUGCUUUGAUGCAUGUGUGCAAUAUUUGAUGAUAAACUUUUAGAAGUAUUUAUUCUUGGCUUAGUGUGUUCGCCUGCAUUAAUGGGUGAUCCCUAUGUGUUGGGUUUUAUUACUGUGAUGACAUCACAGAGGGGAAGGGUUGUUUAGAACAUCAAUUGAUAGAGAGCUCUGAUGGAUAGCAUCACGAUUGGAUCAUUUGGGUCUCUCAAAGUUUUCUCCUAGGUUCCUCCCCCUUAUCUACAUUGAUUGGAAAGACUUGACAGUUAAAACCUUAUGGUGGACGCUGGUCAUUAGGCUAUCUUUAACCUGGUCAGUUCUUUCAGAUCAGUGUAAUAAACUAGAGGAAGCUAUGAGAGAACUGACAUUUUAGACAAUUGAGAAAGAGCCUACCAGCUAUUCGGUUAGGAAUAGGGUGCGAUUUGGUAUGCAAACUUCCAUGCAUGAGCCUGGUCAGUAAAACCUGAUCAUCACCAACACCUUGUUUAACGGCCCAGACUCCCUGAGCACCAAAAAACCCUUAAACUUGAUUCUCUGUUGCACUCCUUAAAACAUGUGAGCGUGAUUACUUCAGACCAGUUUAAACAACAUUAAACUAUUUUUGUGGUCAGCUCAGGGUUCCUGCCUAGUGGCACUAUGUAUGUACAUACUACUUUGGAAUGUCAUAGUGAGAGAGAGAGAGUGAGAGAGAGAGAGAGAGAGAGAGAGAGAAUAUUGUUUACACUUUACUUUAAGGGUACCAACAGUAUAUAAGGACUUUAACACAUUCAUAAUGAAAAUAUUUUUUGACCUACUGUAGUUGUCAUAAGCAUUUAGUAAAGGUACUGUAUAUGUGCUGUAUAUGGGUUAUGCAUAUUAUUAUGAAGUGCUUAUGUAGAUACCCUUCAAGUAAAGUGUUACUAAAAGAUCCAACAUUAAUAUAAAUAUAUCAUGAGGACAGUAAUGUCACGAUACUCAUACGUUCCCUGUAAUGAUACUGUACAUGUAAUUAUUGUAAGCACAAAUGAGAGUAUUUGUAAUGAUAUGUAAAAUACUAUUUAUAAUAAAUAUUUU